This 571-nucleotide unclassified non-coding RNA is filed under the name Hevea brasiliensis (rubber tree). The record is from RNAcentral. Lineage: Eukaryota; Viridiplantae; Streptophyta; Magnoliopsida; Malpighiales; Euphorbiaceae.
GGAGAGCAUGACAGAACUUGAAGAUAGCAGAAGAAAGCUAGUUACUUUGAAAAUGCAGAAAGAUGUGGCAUGUGGGGGGCAGGAAACAAUUUCAAGUGCAGUUAAUGGGAGUAUGUCACCUGAGAAGCACACAGACCGAACAAAAGGUGUACGGGAACUGAAGGAGUCUAUAGAAGAGGCAAAGAUACUGAAAGAGGACCGCCUCUCUGAGCUUCACGAUGCCCAGGAAGACAAUCUACAUUUGUCAAAGCAGUUGCAAGAUCUUCAGAAUGAACUAAAGGAUGAUCGAUAUGUGCAUUCAUCUCGUGCUUAUACUUUAUGCAAUGAUCAGCUUCACCAUUGGAAUUCUGAGGCAGAACGAUACAAAGCUCUGGCAGACUCUCUGCAGGCUGACAGGUCUUUCAUCGGACGAAGAGAGAAAGAACUGGCUCUAAAAGCAGAGGCUGUGGAUGCAGCAAAGAAAGCAGUUGAUAACUCCGAGUCAAGAAUUGAGGAAUUGGAGCAUCGCAUGCACCGAUAUAUAAUUGAAAAGAAUGAGCUAGAAAUCAAAAUGGAAGAAGCUAUUCAAGAU